This 516-nucleotide ribosomal RNA is filed under the name Bacillus thuringiensis. Its description in RNAcentral is "bacterial SSU rRNA". It matches the Rfam family "Bacterial small subunit ribosomal RNA", at positions 48 to 546 of the family's 1533-position model. Lineage: Bacteria; Bacillati; Bacillota; Bacilli; Caryophanales; Bacillaceae. The record is from RNAcentral.
CUAUUGCCAAGUCGAAGCGAAUGGAUUGAGAGCUUGCUCUCAAGAAGUUAGCGGCGGACGGGUGAGUAACACGUGGGUAACCUGCCCAUAAGACUGGGAUAACUCCGGGAAACCGGGGCUAAUACCGGAUAACAUUUUGAACCGCAUGGUUCGAAAUUGAAAGGCGGCUUCGGCUGUCACUUAUGGAUGGACCCGCGUCGCAUUAGCUAGUUGGUGAGGUAACGGCUCACCAAGGCAACGAUGCGUAGCCGACCUGAGAGGGUGAUCGGCCACACUGGGACUGAGACACGGCCCAGACUCCUACGGGAGGCAGCAGUAGGGAAUCUUCCGCAAUGGACGAAAGUCUGACGGAGCAACGCCGCGUGAGUGAUGAAGGCUUUCGGGUCGUAAAACUCUGUUGUUAGGGAAGAACAAGUGCUAGUUGAAUAAGCUGGCACCUUGACGGUACCUAACCAGAAAGCCACGGCUAACUACGUGCCAGCAGCCGCGGUAAAUACGUAGGUGGAAGCGUUAUCC